Molecule: ribosomal RNA, 468 nt
Filed under: uncultured bacterium
Lineage: Bacteria
Description: partial 16S ribosomal RNA
Rfam family: Bacterial small subunit ribosomal RNA
Source: RNAcentral
GACGAACGCUGGCGGCGUGCUUAACACAUGCCAGUCGAACGGAAAGGCCCUGCUGUUGUGUUGUGCUCGAGUGGCGAACGGGUGAGUAGCACGUGAGUAACCUGCCCUUUACUCUGGGAUAACUUCAGGGAACUGGGGCUAAUACCGGAUAGGAGCUCCUGCUGCAUGUUGGGGGUUGGAAAGUUUCGGCGGUUGGGGAUGGACUCGCGGCUUAUCAGCUUGUUGGUGGGGGAGUUGCUUACCAAGGCUGUGACCGGUAGCCGGCAUGAGAGGGUGAACGGGGACAUGGGGCCUGAGAUACGGCGCAGUCUCCAACGGGAGGCAGCAGUGGGGAAUCUUGCACAAUGGGCGGAAGCCUGAUGCAGAAACGCCGCGUGCGGGAUGACGGCCUUCGGGUUGUAAACCAGUUUGUCAGGUGAUGAAGCGUGAGUGACGGUAAUGGGUAAAGAAGCACCGGCUAACUACGUG